RNAcentral lists this ribosomal RNA (484 nucleotides) under uncultured bacterium. RNAcentral's name for it is "partial 16S ribosomal RNA". It matches the Rfam family "Bacterial small subunit ribosomal RNA", at positions 30 to 507 of the family's 1533-position model. The record is from RNAcentral.
AUUGAACGCUGGCGGCAGGCCUAACACAUGCAAGUCGAGCGGUAGAGAGAAGCUUGCUUCUCUUGAGAGCGGCGGACGGGUGAGUAAUGCCUAGGAAUCUGCCUGGUAGUGGGGGAUAACGUUCGGAAACGGACGCUAAUACCGCAUACGCCCUACGGGAGAAAGCAGGGGACCUUCGGGCCUUGCGCUAUCAGAUGAGCCUAGGUCGGAUUAGCUAGUUGGUGGGGUAAUGGCUCACCAAGGCGACGAUCCGUAACUGGUCUGAGAGGAUGAUCAGUCACACUGGAACUGAGACACGGUCCAGACUCCUACGGGAGGCAGCAGUGGGGAAUAUUGGACAAUGGGCGAAAGCCUGAUCCAGCCAUGCCGCGUGUGUGAAGAAGGUCUUCGGAUUGUAAAGCACUUUAAGUUGGGAGGAAGGGCAGUAAAUUAAUACUUUGCUGUUUUGACGUUACCGACAGAAUAAGCACCGGCUAACUCUGUG